RNAcentral lists this ribosomal RNA (547 nucleotides) under uncultured bacterium. Its description in RNAcentral is "bacterial SSU rRNA". It matches the Rfam family "Bacterial small subunit ribosomal RNA", at positions 355 to 896 of the family's 1533-position model. The record is from RNAcentral.
UGGGGAAUAUUGCGCAAUGGGGGGAACCCUGACGCAGCCAUGCCGCGUGAAUGAAGAAGGCCUUAGGGUUGUAAAGUUCUUUCGGUAUUGAGGAAGGUUGAUGUGUUAAUAGCACGUCAAAUUGACGUUAAAUACAGAAGAAGCACCGGCUAACUCCGUGCCAGCAGCCGCGGUAAUACGGAGGGUGCGAGCGUUAAUCGGAAUAACUGGGCGUAAAGGGCACGCAGGCGGUUAUUUAAGUGAGGUGUGAAAGCCCCGGGCUUAACCUGGGAAUUGCAUUUCAGACUGGGUAACUAGAGUACUUUAGGGAGGGGUAGAAUUCCACGUGUAGCGGUGAAAUGCGUAGAGAUGUGGAGGAAUACCGAAGGCGAAGGCAGCCCCUUGGGAAUGUACUGACGCUCAUGUGCGAAAGCGUGGGGAGCAAACAGGAUUAGAUACCCUGGUAGUCCACGCUGUAAACGCUGUCGAUUUGGGGGUUGGGGUUUAACUCUGGCGCCCGUAGCUAACGUGAUAAAUCGACCGCCUGGGGAGUACGGCCGCAAGGUUA